AAAGAAAACUAAAGAAACUUUUCAACUCACAGCUUCUUUUUCUGAUUCAGAGUAUUUGUGACCCUCAAUCAUCAUGGCAAAUACUGAAGAACAGAGGGAGGCCCAAACCAAGCCCUCUCUCAAGCCAUUGAGUAUGAAACAG
Long non-coding RNA from Melanotaenia boesemani (Boeseman's rainbowfish), 142 nucleotides. RefSeq lists it as uncharacterized. The record is from RefSeq and is a predicted model, not a curated record. The transcript is spliced from 3 exons. NCBI's taxonomy places the organism in Eukaryota, Metazoa, Chordata, Actinopteri, Atheriniformes, Melanotaeniidae.